Molecule: transfer RNA, 77 nt
Filed under: Bacilli bacterium
Lineage: Bacteria; Bacillati; Bacillota; Bacilli
Also listed under: 2 other names
Description: tRNA-Ile
Rfam family: tRNA
About the family: Transfer RNA (tRNA) molecules are approximately 80 nucleotides in length. Their secondary structure includes four short double-helical elements and three loops (D, anti-codon, and T loops).
Source: RNAcentral
GGUCCAUUAGCUCAGCCGGUUAGAGCGUUCGACUUAUAAUCGAAAGGUCCGGUGUUCAAGUCACCGAUGGACUACCA